AAGUUUGAUCCUGGCUCAGGAUGAACGCUAGCGGCAGGCCUAACACAUGCAAGUCGCGGGGCAGCACGGGUAGCAAUACCUGGUGGCGACCGGCGCACGGGUGCGUAACGCGUAUGCAACCUGCCCCCAUCAGGGGGAAUAGCCCGCCGAAAGGCGGAUUAAUGCCCCAUAGGCCCAGGGCGCCGCAUGGCGCUAUGGGUAAAGCUCCGGCGGAUGGGGAUGGGCAUGCGUGCCAUUAGCUAGUUGGGGCGGUAACGGCGCACCAAGGCGACGAUGGCUAGGGGGUCUGAGAGGAUGGUCCCCCACACUGGUACUGAGACACGGACCAGACUCCUACGGGAGGCAGCAGUGAGGAAUAUUGGUCAAUGGACGAGAGUCUGAACCAGCCAAAGUAGCGUGAAGGAUGACUGCCCUAUGGGUUGUAAACUUCUUUUAUAAGGGAAUAAAGUGAGGGACGUGUCCCUUUUUGUAUGUACCUUAUGAAUAAGGAUCGGCUAACUCCGUGCCAGCCGCCGC
RNAcentral lists this ribosomal RNA (516 nucleotides) under uncultured bacterium. RNAcentral's name for it is "bacterial SSU rRNA". It matches the Rfam family "Bacterial small subunit ribosomal RNA", at positions 9 to 518 of the family's 1533-position model. The record is from RNAcentral.